This 72-nucleotide transfer RNA is filed under the name Bos taurus (domestic cattle). It matches the Rfam family "tRNA". From Rfam's summary of the family: Transfer RNA (tRNA) molecules are approximately 80 nucleotides in length. Their secondary structure includes four short double-helical elements and three loops (D, anti-codon, and T loops). RNAcentral also lists the same sequence under 2 other names. The record is from Rfam by way of RNAcentral. Lineage: Eukaryota; Metazoa; Chordata; Mammalia; Artiodactyla; Bovidae.
UCCCUGGUGGCUCAGACAGUAAAGAAUCUGCCUGCAAUGCAGGAGACUCAGGUUCAAUCCCUGGGUCGGGAA